AACGCACAUUGCGCCCUUUGGUAUUCCUUAGGGCAUGCCUGUUCGAGCGUCAUCUAACCCCUCAAGCAACGCUUGAUGUUGGGCGCUUGUCCCGCCAUCGCGCGCGGACUCGCCUCGAAGACAUUGGCGGCCUGUGUAUUGGCUACGAGCGCAGCAGACCCGCGGCUCGCGACCCUCCCACGCAGGCAGUCCAGAAGCGCGAAACACCCAGUUUUGACCUCGGAUCAGGUAGGGAUACCCGCUGAACUUAA
RNAcentral lists this unclassified non-coding RNA (251 nucleotides) under uncultured fungus. Its description in RNAcentral is "sequence contains ITS2". The record is from RNAcentral. Lineage: Eukaryota; Fungi.